AACGAACGCUGGCGGCAGGCUUAACACAUGCAAGUCGAGCGCCCCGCCAGGGGAGCGGCAGCCGGGUGAGUAACGCGUGGGGACGUACCUUUUGGUUCGGAACAACUCCGGGAAACUGGAGCUACUACCGGAUAAGCCCUAACGGGGAAAGAUUUAUCGCCGAAAGAUCGGCCCGCGUCUGAUUAGCUAGUUGGUGAGGUAACGGCUCACCAAGGCGACGAUCAGUAGCUGGUCUGAGAGGAUGAUCAGCCACACUGGGACUGAGACACGGCCCAGACUCCUACGGGAGGCAGCAGUGGGGAAUAUUGGACAAUGGGCGCAAGCCUGAUCCAGCCAUGCCGCGUGAGUGAUGAAGGCCUUAGGGUUGUAAAGCUCUUUUGUCCGGGAAGAUAAUGACUGUACCGGAAGAAUAAGCCCCGGCUAACUUCGUG
RNAcentral lists this ribosomal RNA (431 nucleotides) under uncultured bacterium. Its description in RNAcentral is "partial 16S ribosomal RNA". It matches the Rfam family "Bacterial small subunit ribosomal RNA", at positions 29 to 507 of the family's 1533-position model. The record is from RNAcentral.